CUGUCUGAUGGAGUAAAACCCGUUGGCUGGGGAAGGGGAAGUCUCCAGAGAUGUGGUGGAAAACGCCAGCCAGCCAGCUGUGUGGGACCCUUGGGCCAUAAGUCCCAGCCAUGGAGUUAAAAUGUGACAUGAAAUCUCGCUAUUAUAUUUGGACUAGAAGAGCUGCAAAGAGCAUUUUCUGUUCAAAUCGCCUAGGAUUAAGUCUCCUCAUGUAGUAGAAUCAAAGUCCUGGCUUCCUCCUCAAGGAGCAUCUCAUAACAAAAGCAUCCAGAGUUCGGGCUGCUUUGGAGGAGCUUCACAGGGAAUUUAACAGAAUGCA
Molecule: long non-coding RNA, 319 nt
Filed under: Homo sapiens (human)
Lineage: Eukaryota; Metazoa; Chordata; Mammalia; Primates; Hominidae
Description: HSALNT0351570
Source: RNAcentral